CUUUAUCUCUAGUUCAAUGAGAUAGAUGCGUUCAACAUAGUCACCAAAUUUUGAAUUAUUUAGUAAAAGAACAUCAUCUAUAUAUCGGAAAGUAGAGUUAAAGGAUAUUGCUAACUUCUUAUCUUUCUUCCUAAGAAGUUCCUGUAUGAAGUCAGCCUCAUAAUAAAAAAGAAACAAGUCGGCAAGAAGAGGGGCACAAUUCGUUGCCAUUGGAAUG
Molecule: long non-coding RNA, 217 nt
Filed under: Mytilus galloprovincialis (Mediterranean mussel)
Lineage: Eukaryota; Metazoa; Mollusca; Bivalvia; Mytilida; Mytilidae
Source: RNAcentral